This 253-nucleotide ribosomal RNA is filed under the name uncultured bacterium. Its description in RNAcentral is "partial 16S ribosomal RNA". It matches the Rfam family "Bacterial small subunit ribosomal RNA", at positions 524 to 776 of the family's 1533-position model. The record is from RNAcentral.
UACGUAGGGGGCAAGCGUUAUCCGGAUUUACUGGGUGUAAAGGGAGCGUAGACGGUGAUGCAAGUCAGAAGUGAAAGCCCGGGGCUCAACUCUGGGACUGCUUUUGAAACUGUGUAACUGGAGUGCAGGAGAGGUAAGCGGAAUUCCUGGUGUAGCGGUGAAAUGCGUAGAUAUCAGGAGGAACACCAGUGGCGAAGGCGGCUUACUGGACUGUAACUGACGUUGAGGCUCGAAAGCGUGGGGAGCAAACAGG